GAGUCGCAGCCGGGAGGACGGAGGCGUCCGCGGUCUCUCCUGUUGCAGUGAGAGUGGCGCGCGCGAGCGGUGCCCUGAGUCCACAGCCGUGGAGGAGCUGAGCCCCGGGAGGGGGAGCUGCCGAAAAUACCUGUCCAGAGCUUUCGGAAUUACUGGUGGUGAUACAGGCGCUGAAGACCAGGAGAAUCACCUGCGGAGCUGCUGUGCAUAUGGGCUGCUAACUUUCUGGUUUAUCGCUUAGGUUUAUGAUUGCCCCCUUCUUAGAAAUGCCCUUUGCUAAUGGGAUCCACCUCCCUAGAGAAUUACACAGGCGGUUACGCUCAUCCCCAACAGUCGUGCGCCCAGGGAUCGAGUAUAACAGACUCAUCAACUGUUGAUGCUCCAGAGCUCCUUGUGGGACCAGGCCCAGGCUGGACCCCCAAUCAAACCCAGCUUUCCCCCGAGAGCACACUCCCUCAAUAAAUCCCUUGCACAAAAAUCCCAAUUCAGUCUCAGCUUUUUUUUUUUUAAUAUAUUUUAAUUUUUUUUUAA
Long non-coding RNA from Lynx canadensis (Canada lynx), 531 nucleotides. RefSeq lists it as uncharacterized. The record is from RefSeq and is a predicted model, not a curated record. Lineage: Eukaryota; Metazoa; Chordata; Mammalia; Carnivora; Felidae. The transcript is spliced from 3 exons.